RNAcentral lists this signal recognition particle RNA (297 nucleotides) under Pan troglodytes (chimpanzee). RNAcentral's name for it is "Metazoan signal recognition particle RNA". It matches the Rfam family "Metazoan signal recognition particle RNA". From Rfam's summary of the family: The signal recognition particle (SRP) is a universally conserved ribonucleoprotein. It is involved in the co-translational targeting of proteins to membranes. The record is from Rfam by way of RNAcentral. Lineage: Eukaryota; Metazoa; Chordata; Mammalia; Primates; Hominidae.
GCUGGGUGUGGUGGCACACGCCUGUAAUCCCAGCUACUUGGGGGCUGAGGCAGGAGAAUUGCUUGAGCCCGGGAGGCAGAGGUUGCAGUGAGCUGAGAUCGUGCCACUGCACUCCAGCUUGGCUGUCAAAAAAAAAAAAGCUCUGAGAUUUAACUCAUACUUAGGAUGUCACCAGUCAGAGAUUUUUUUUUUUUUUAAGACGGAGUCUUGCUCUGUGUCACCUAGGCUGGAGUGCAGUGGCAUGAUCUCAGCUCACUGCCACCUCUGGCUCCUGAAAUCAAGGAAUUAUCCUGCCCU